AACGAACGCUGGCGGCAUGCCUAACACAUGCGAGUCGAACGAGAUCUUCGGGUCUAGUGGCGCACGGGUGCGUAACGCGUGGGAAUCUGCCCUUUGGUUCGGAAUAACAGUUGGAAACGAGUGCUAAUACCGGAUGAUGACGAAAGUCCAAAGAUUUAUCGCCAGAGGAUGAGCCCGCGUAGGAUUAGCUAGUUGGUGUGGUAAAGGCGCACCAAGGCGACGAUCCUUAGCUGGUCUGAGAGGAUGAUCAGCCACACUGGGACUGAGACACGGCCCAGACUCCUACGGGAGGCAGCAGUGGGGAAUAUUGGACAAUGGGCGAAAGCCUGAUCCAGCAAUGCCGCGUGAGUGAUGAAGGCCUUAGGGUUGUAAAGCUCUUUUACCCGGGAUGAUAAUGACAGUACCGGGAGAAUAAGCUCCGGCUAACUCCGUGCCAGCAGCCGCAGUAA
This 449-nucleotide ribosomal RNA is filed under the name uncultured bacterium. RNAcentral describes it as "partial 16S ribosomal RNA". It matches the Rfam family "Bacterial small subunit ribosomal RNA", at positions 29 to 523 of the family's 1533-position model. The record is from RNAcentral.